CCUACGGGCGGCAGCAGUGGGGAAUAUUGCACAAUGGGGGAAACCCUGAUGCAGCGACGCCGCGUGAGUGAAGAAGUAUCUCGGUACGUAAAGCUCUAUCAGCAGGGGAGAAAAUGACGUUACCUGACUAAGAAGCCCCGGCGAACUACGUGCCAGGAGCCGCGGUAAUACGUAGGGGGCAAGCGUUAUCUGGAUUUACUGGGUGUAAAGGGAGCGUAGGCGGCAGCACAAGUCUGGAGUGAAAUCCCGGGGCGUAACCCCGGAACUGCGGUGGAAACUGUGCGGCUGGAGUGCAGGAGGGGGAAGCGGAAUUCCUAGUGUAGCGGUGAAAUGCGUAGAUAUUAGGAGGAACACCGGUGGCGAAGGCGGCUUACUGGACCGUAACUGACGUUGAGGCUCGAAAGCGUGGGGAGCAAACAGGAUUAGAUACCCGAGUAGUC
RNAcentral lists this ribosomal RNA (440 nucleotides) under uncultured bacterium. Its description in RNAcentral is "partial 16S ribosomal RNA". It matches the Rfam family "Bacterial small subunit ribosomal RNA", at positions 338 to 795 of the family's 1533-position model. The record is from RNAcentral.